AUUCAACUGACGAGUCCCAAAUAGGAGGAAACGCGCAUCAAACUGGAU
RNAcentral lists this non-coding RNA (48 nucleotides) under Schistosoma mansoni. Lineage: Eukaryota; Metazoa; Platyhelminthes; Trematoda; Strigeidida; Schistosomatidae. The record is from RNAcentral.